RNAcentral lists this ribosomal RNA (383 nucleotides) under uncultured eukaryote. RNAcentral describes it as "partial 18S ribosomal RNA". It matches the Rfam family "Eukaryotic small subunit ribosomal RNA", at positions 592 to 976 of the family's 1831-position model. The record is from RNAcentral.
CAAUAGCGUAUAUUAAAGUUGUUGCGGUUAAAAAGCUCGUAGUUGGAUCUCGGCAGGCAGGGGGUGGUUCGCUCUUAGCGCUACUGCCCCAUUUGCCUGUGUGAUUGGCGGAGGUUUCGGGGUGCUCUUCGUUGAGUGACCCGGGGCGCCGUCAGGCUUACUUUGAAAAAAUUAGAGUGCUCAAAGCAGGCUUUUCACGCUUGAAUAUUCGUGCAUGGAAUAAUGGAAUAGGAACUCGUUUCUAUUUUGUUGGUUUUCGGAAAUCGAGUUAAUGAUUAAUAGGGACAAUUGGGGGCAUUAGUAUUCAGACGACAGAGGUGAAAUUCUUGGACCGUCUGAAGACUAACUACUGCGAAAGCAUUUGCCAAGAGUGUUUUCAUUAA